AGAGUUUGAUCAUGGCUCAGAACGAACGCUGGCGGCAUGCCUAACACAUGCAAGUCGAACGAACCCUUCGGGGUUAGUGGCGCACGGGUGCGUAACGCGUGGGAAUCUACCCUUAGGUUCGGAAUAACUCAGAGAAAUUUGAGCUAAUACCGGAUGAUGACGUAAGUCCAAAGAUUUAUCGCCUAAGGAUGAGCCCGCGUAGGAUUAGCUAGUUGGUGUGGUAAAGGCGCACCAAGGCGACGAUCCUUAGCUGGUCUGAGAGGAUGAUCAGCCACACUGGGACUGAGACACGGCCCAGACUCCUACGGGAGGCAGCAGUGGGGAAUAUUGGACAAUGGGCGAAAGCCUGAUCCAGCAAUGCCGCGUGAGUGAUGAAGGCCUUAGGGUUGUAAAGCUCUUUUACCCGGGAUGAUAAUGACAGUACCGGGAGAAUAAGCUCCGGCUAACUCCGUGCCAGCAGCCGCGGUAAUACGGAGGGAGCUAGCGUUGUUCGGAAUUACUGGGCGUAAAGCGUACGUAGGCGGCUUUGUAAGUAAGAGGUGAAAGCCUGGAGCUCAACUCCAGAACUGCCUUUUAGACUGCAUCGCUUGAAUCCAGGAGAGGUGAGUGGAAUUCCGAGUGUAGAGGUGAAAUUCGUAGAUAUUCGGAAGAACACCAGUGGCGAAGGCGGCUCACUGGACUGGUAUUGACGCUGAGGUACGAAAGCGUGGGGAGCAAACAGGAUUAGAUACCCCGGUAGUCC
This 742-nucleotide ribosomal RNA is filed under the name uncultured bacterium. Its description in RNAcentral is "bacterial SSU rRNA". It matches the Rfam family "Bacterial small subunit ribosomal RNA", at positions 8 to 796 of the family's 1533-position model. The record is from RNAcentral.